GAGAUGCAAGUUGGGAGUGAAAUCCAUGGGCUCAACCCAUGAACUGCUUUCAAAACUGUAUCCCUUGAGUAUCGGAGAGGCAAGCGGAAUUCCUAGUGUAGCGGUGAAAUGCGUAGAUAUUAGGAGGAACACCAGUGGCGAAGGCGGCUUGCUGGACGACAACUGACGCUGAGGCGCGAAAGCGUGGGGAGCAAACAGGAUUAGAUACCCUGGUAGUCCACGCUGUAAACGAUGAAUACUAGGUGUGGGAGGACUGACCCCUUCCGUGCCGCAGUUAACACAAUAAGUAUUCCACCUGGGGAGUACGACCGCAAGGUUGAAACUCAAAGGAAUUGACGGGGGCCCGCACAAGCAGUGGAUUAUGUGGUUUAAUUCGACGCAACGCGAAGAACCUUACCAGGAUUUGACAUCCAACUAACGAAGUAGAGAUACAUUAGGUGCCCUUCGGGGAAAGUUGAGACAGGUGGUGCAUGGUUGUCGUCAGCCCGUGUCGUGAGAUGUUGGGUUAAGUCCCGCAACGAGCGCAACCCCUAUUGUUAGUUGCUACGCAAGAGCACUCUAGCGAGACUGCCGUUGACAAAACGGAGGAAGGCGGGGACGACGUCAAAUCAUCAUGCCCCUUAUGUCCUGGGCUACACACGUAAUACAAUGGCCGUCAACAAAGGGAAGCAAUACCGCGAGGUGGAGCAAACCCCCAAAAACGGUCUCAGUUCGGAUUGCAGGCUGCAACUCGCCUGCAUGAAGCUGGAAUUGCU
RNAcentral lists this ribosomal RNA (755 nucleotides) under uncultured Bacillota bacterium. Its description in RNAcentral is "bacterial SSU rRNA". It matches the Rfam family "Bacterial small subunit ribosomal RNA", at positions 578 to 1336 of the family's 1533-position model. The record is from RNAcentral. Lineage: Bacteria; Bacillati; Bacillota.